AUUUUUUCCAGUUCAUCACCAUGAUCAUCAGACACUCACAUGCUUAUGUGACAUGUGCCUUGCUUAAAUCUUGUUACACACUUGGCACAUUAACCAUAUGACA
This is a small nucleolar RNA of Sorex fumeus (smoky shrew), 103 nucleotides long. RefSeq annotates it as small nucleolar RNA U13. Lineage: Eukaryota; Metazoa; Chordata; Mammalia; Eulipotyphla; Soricidae. The record is from RefSeq and is a predicted model, not a curated record. The transcript has a single exon.